Molecule: ribosomal RNA, 643 nt
Filed under: uncultured Actinomycetes bacterium
Lineage: Bacteria; Bacillati; Actinomycetota; Actinomycetes
Description: bacterial SSU rRNA
Rfam family: Bacterial small subunit ribosomal RNA
Source: RNAcentral
CGCGGCCUAUCAGCUUGUUGGUGAGGUAACGGCUCACCAAGGCGACGACGGGUAGCCGGCCUGAGAGGGUGACCGGCCACACUGGGACUGAGACACGGCCCAGACUCCUACGGGAGGCAGCAGUGGGGAAUAUUGCACAAUGGGCGCAAGCCUGAUGCAGCAACGCCGCGUGAGGGAUGACGGCCUUCGGGUUGUAAACCUCUUUUAGCAGGGAAGAAGCGAAAGUGACGGUACCUGCAGAAAAAGCACCGGCUAACUACGUGCCAGCAGCCGCGGUAAUACGUAGGGUGCAAGCGUUGUCCGGAACUAUUGGGCGUAAAGAGCUCGUAGGCGGUUUGUCACGUCUGCUGUGAAAAUCCAAGGCUCAACCUUGGACUUGCAGUGGGUACGGGCAGGCUAGAGUGCGGUAGGGGAGAUGGGAAUUCCUGGUGUAGCGGUGGAAUGCGCAGAUAUCAGGAGGAACACCAAUGGCGAAGGCACAUCUCUGGGCCGUAACUGACGCUGAGGAGCGAAAGCGUGGGGAGCGAACAGGAUUAGAUACCCUGGUAGUCCACGCCGUAAACGGUGGGUGCUAGCUGUGGGCCACAUUCCACGUGGUCCGUGACGAAGUUAACACAUUAAGCACCCCGCCUGGGGAGUACGG